UACAGAGGGUGCAAGCGUUGUUCGGAAUUAUUGGGCGUAAAGCGCGUGUAGGCGGCUUUGCAAGUCGGGUGUGAAAGCCCUCAGCUCAACUGAGGAAGUGCGCCCGAAACUGCAGAGCUUGAGUGCCGGAGAGGGUGGCGGAAUUCCCCAAGUAGAGGUGAAAUUCGUAGAUAUGGGGAGGAACACCGGUGGCGAAGGCGGCUCUCUGGACCGAGACUGACGCUGAGGCGCGAAAGCGUGGGGAGCGAACAGG
Molecule: ribosomal RNA, 253 nt
Filed under: uncultured bacterium
Lineage: Bacteria
Description: partial 16S ribosomal RNA
Rfam family: Bacterial small subunit ribosomal RNA
Source: RNAcentral